RNAcentral lists this ribosomal RNA (253 nucleotides) under uncultured bacterium. RNAcentral's name for it is "partial 16S ribosomal RNA". It matches the Rfam family "Bacterial small subunit ribosomal RNA", at positions 524 to 776 of the family's 1533-position model. The record is from RNAcentral.
CACGUAGGGCGCGAGCGUUGUCCGGAAUUAUUGGGCGUAAAGAGCUCGUAGGCGGUCUGUCGCGUCGGCUGUGAAAUCCCGAGGCUCAACCUCGGGUCUGCAGUCGAUACGGGCAAACUAGAGUAUUGCAGGGGAGACUGGAAUUCCUGGUGUAGCGGUGAAAUGCGCAGAUAUCAGGAGGAACACCGGUGGCGAAGGCGGGUCUCUGGGCAAUAACUGACGCUGAGGAGCGAAAGCGUGGGGAGCGAACAGG